CAGCAGCCACGGGAACACGUAGGUGGCAAGCGUUGUCCGGAAUUAUUGGGCGUAAAGCGCGCGCAGGCGGAUCAGUUAGUCUGUCUUAAAAGUUCGGGGCUUAACCCCGUGAGGGGAUGGAAACUGCUGAUCUAGAGUAUCGGAGAGGAAAGUGGAAUUCCUAGUGUAGCGGUGAAAUGCGUAGAAAUUAGGAAGAACACCAGUGGCGAAGGCGACUUUCUGGACGAAAACUGACGCUGAGGCGCGAAAGCCAGGGGAGCGAACGGGAUUAGAUACCCCCGUAGUCCCUGUCUCUUAUACC
RNAcentral lists this ribosomal RNA (301 nucleotides) under uncultured bacterium. RNAcentral's name for it is "partial 16S ribosomal RNA". It matches the Rfam family "Bacterial small subunit ribosomal RNA", at positions 509 to 808 of the family's 1533-position model. The record is from RNAcentral.